Molecule: ribosomal RNA, 250 nt
Filed under: uncultured bacterium
Lineage: Bacteria
Description: partial 16S ribosomal RNA
Rfam family: Bacterial small subunit ribosomal RNA
Source: RNAcentral
GACAGAGGGUGCAAACGUUGUUCGGAAUUACUGGGCGUAAAGCGUGUGUAGGCGGUCCUAAAAGUCGGACGUGAAAGCCCCGGGCUCAACCCGGGAAGUGCGCUCGAUACUGUAGGACUUGAGUGUCGGAGAGGUUGGUAGAAUUCUCGGUGUAGAGGUGAAAUUCGUAGAUAUCGAGAGGAAUACCGGCGGCGAAGGCGGCCAACUGGACGAACACUGACGCUGAGACACGAAAGCGUGGGGAGCAAAC